Non-coding RNA from Schizopora paradoxa, 91 nucleotides. The record is from the annotation of a GenBank genome assembly. NCBI's taxonomy places the organism in Eukaryota, Fungi, Basidiomycota, Agaricomycetes, Hymenochaetales, Schizoporaceae.
GCAUUAAUGGUGUAGUGGUUAGCAUGGGAUCUUCCCAGUAGUUCUACGAACACGUUAGGUCUCGACCCGAGUUCGAAUCUCGGUUAAUGCA